GAUGAAGAACGCAGCGAAAUGCGAUAAGUAAUGUGAAUUGCAGAAUUCAGUGAAUCAUCGAAUCUUUGAACGCACAUUGCGCCCAUUAGUAUUCUAGUGGGCAUGCCUGUUCGAGCGUCAUUAAGUCCACUUAAGCCCUGCUUAGUGUUGGGAGACUGCUCCAGCGGUGCUACCCUGUAGCUACCCUGCAGCUCCUCAAAGACACCGGCGGAGUUGUGGUAUCCUCUGAGCUUAGUAACUUGUUCUAGCUUUCGAGUACACCACUUCCCCUGCCGUAAAACCCUUAAUUUUUAAUGGUUGACCUCGGAUCAGGUAGGAAUACCCGCUGAACUUAAGCAUAUCAAUAAGCGGAGGA
Molecule: unclassified non-coding RNA, 355 nt
Filed under: soil metagenome
Description: partial contains 5.8S ribosomal RNA, internal transcribed spacer 2, and large subunit ribosomal RNA
Rfam family: 5.8S ribosomal RNA (bases 1-120)
Source: RNAcentral